AAGUCGUAACAAGGUUUCCGUAGGUGAACCUGCGGAAGGAUCAUUAACAAAUUCAAUCUAUAUUUUAUACCUGUGAACCGGGGGACGAGUUGGGCCGCAAGGUCUGCCUCUGAACUCAAGAAACUCUUGAUAACCUUUAUUAUGUCAUUCGGAGAGGUCGAGGGGAAGAGGGGGAGGGAGAGGUACGUUCAUUCAUGCCUUUCUCGCUCUUCUUGACUCCUCGUCUGAUUCGCAAAUAUGUUAUUACAACUUUUAACAAUGGAUCUCUUGGCUCUC
Molecule: unclassified non-coding RNA, 276 nt
Filed under: fungal sp.
Lineage: Eukaryota; Fungi
Description: partial internal transcribed spacer region
Rfam family: Eukaryotic small subunit ribosomal RNA (bases 1-46)
Source: RNAcentral